Molecule: long non-coding RNA, 1222 nt
Organism: Brassica oleracea var. oleracea
Lineage: Eukaryota; Viridiplantae; Streptophyta; Magnoliopsida; Brassicales; Brassicaceae
Exons: 2
Source: RefSeq, a predicted model, not a curated record
CGAGAUAACAGAGAUAAACGGUGAACAGGUGAUGACGAUAGCGAUUCUUGCUCUCUUUGUUUCUUCUUCUUCGAUCGAGUGAUCGACAACGACAGAGCAUCUUCUUCUUCUCCUCUAUACAGUAGAUCGACUUGCAUGUCCUGAGGUAUGUAGCUCGUGCCUCUCUGUUUACACGAUUUUAGAUUUCUGUUCGUCCUUUCAAAGGUAAGUAAUCUUCUUCAUAGGUAUUUAGCUCGUCCCUUCAUAAUGAAGGUAAGUAAUCUUCUUCCUUGUUCUGUCUCUCUCCCUGCGAAUGUGUUCUGUGAAUCUUCUUAGUUGGAUUAUGUCUCUCUGCGAAAGUAUUUUUUCCUAACAGUGUAAUGAUAUAUAUAUAUAUAUAUUGUGUUGUUCUGUUUUGUUUAUGUAUUAGAUGGCUUGGUUGUAUAAGCGUUGUUCUCUUUUUGUUCUGCUUACUCUCGGUUGCUAGUUAUUAAUUAAAAAAUUCAACACAACUUUACUCUUGGUUGUUUCUGUAUUGUUCUGUUUUUGUUUCGGUAUUGAUAUAUAUUGUGUCGUUCUUCUUUUGUUUCUGUAUUAGAUGGCUUUGUUGUUUCUUAAGUAUUGUUCUGUUUUGAUUCUUGUUGAUAACACGGUUCAAGCACUCUUGUUAUCUUGUUUGAUAACAGACUGCUCUUCUUUUUUAUUAAAUAUCGCUUACACUUGUUUUAUUUUUCAUGCAUGAUCAUGAAUUCAUGAGUCGAUACUUGUUUGAUGGAGUGAUGUUGUAGAAGCAGAGGGAGACUGACAUUAUUCCCUUCUGCCUUCUGGUUGCUUCAGGACUUGAGGUUACAUGUCCCAAGCCUUGAUGAAGAUUGCUGGCCCGCGGGCCGACCCGCAUACCCGCUGCUAUAGGGCUGGUCGGGAUUGGUCAUAGGUUUUAGAGACCGCAGCCCGCCGCGGUACGACCCGCAGAGACUCGAAUGAAACUGAAACCCGCGACGGGGCGGGUCAUUUGGUUGCGGGAGAGCCCAAAUGCCACCACUAUUCCUGGUUAUCAAAAAAAGAAAAAAAAAACUUCGGCUCUUGCCACCGAAACUGAAGCGUAUUUAUGGGCCGCAAUUUUACGCUUGCGUUUGAACCUUAUAACUUAUAAGAGAGAUGUUUAUUUCGGAUUGCAACGACUUGGUGACCAAACCUCUUUGGAGAUUUUCAGGAUCUUUUAAAAGCGCCAUUAGGGAAAGUA